GUUGCAGCUUAGUGGUAAAGUGCUUCCCUAGCAUGUGUGAGGCCCUGGGUUCGAUCCUCAGGACCACA
RNAcentral lists this transfer RNA (68 nucleotides) under Marmota monax (woodchuck). RNAcentral's name for it is "tRNA.Ala". Lineage: Eukaryota; Metazoa; Chordata; Mammalia; Rodentia; Sciuridae. The record is from RNAcentral.